Molecule: non-coding RNA, 1854 nt
Organism: Misgurnus anguillicaudatus (oriental weatherfish)
Lineage: Eukaryota; Metazoa; Chordata; Actinopteri; Cypriniformes; Cobitidae
Source: RefSeq, a predicted model, not a curated record
AUCACAAUCAUCCAUUAGUCUCAAAUCACAAAAAAAUGACUUUAGCUGCAGCUGGGUUUCCACAUACUGGAUCACAUUUUUUACAUUGUGACAAUUAGGGGUGCACCGAUAUAUUGGCCAAUGAUGGAUGCUUGCUAUGCUUCUCAAUGAAUUACGGUGAAAUGCCGCUACAUCCAAAAGCCAGGGGGCGCUCUUGUGCAGAAACUCAAUAUGCGCUGCAGACAAAGAACCAUACACACGGAGAUCCAGGAAAUGAUAUUGCUGUACUUCAAACCUUUUCAGGUCUUUCCUUUGUUUGGCUUUCAAUCUUGACAUGCAGCUGACACGUGUUUUGCUCUGAGAGCGAAAGAAGCACUUUGAGAUUUGGACAAAACUCUUUCAGCUAUGUACAGAUGAGCACACCAAAAGUCUGAAUACACGAUGACUGAGCACACUAAAGUUAGUGUUGAAAAGUUUCCAAGGAGACGGAAUGAAAAGAUAUCCGCAAACCUCUAGUGGUUUGAGGGGACGGCGUCACUCACAGACAAACACACGUCAGCAUGUAGUUUGCAUUACACACCCUAAAGGAGUGGUCACAGGCGUCUCUGGCAUCUUCACUGUAACUGAAACUGUGGCCUUAACCUUUAUCACUUCACAGGAAGUUGGACAGGAAGGCGGGGCGUGUGUGCAUGUGUUUAAUGGCGCUGCUGAAUAAAGUUCAAGAUUAAAAGUAUCAUGUUGAGGGUUUGCUUUGGACAUACUGGACCCUGCAUGUCCAGGAUCUGAAUUUCAGAUCAAAAUUUCGGCAUGUGUGCUACAUUAGAAUAGUAAAACAGAGAAUGGUCUACAUUGUGAGCACCAGUCAACAGUGCACACGACGAAAAGAGUUAAACAUACCGAAUACACAUACUGAAUGUUUUAAUGACAAUGCAAAAAUGCAAUAACCACAAAGCUACUUUUAAGGUAGAUUUAUCAGAUUAUGUGUUUUCAGUGGGAAUCAAAUCUAUGAUUUAUUAGCAUUGAUAGCACAAUGCUACAGUUAAGCUACAAUGUAAACAGGAAUCUACAGAUUUGUGUGCUGGUAAAGUGUAGAGGUAUAUAAAAUCUCAUCAAAUCAAUGUAAAAUAAAAAGCAGUAUUUGAAACCAUAAAAUAAAAUGCUAAUUCAAUAAAAAGUCAUCUCCAUGACUUUAAAAAACAAACAAUGUGUGUACAUGUAUUUGUAUCCAGGGGAAGCCUGAAUGCACACCCACUUCAUGGGACUCAUGUUGCGGUUCCCACGGGUAAACAAGCUUAAAAAUCGUACACAAUGCUUUGAAAAUCUAAAAUAGCAGAGUUUUUGGUAAGGGGUAGGAUAUACAGUUUAUCCAGUAAACCAUUACUUCUAUGGAAUGUCCCAGCGGUGAUCGAAACCAGACAUCCGUGUGUGUUUGUGUGUAUUUGUCAGUGUCUAUUAUUAUGUAGAGCAUGUUGAUGGGUGUGCUUGUGCAUUGAUAAGUAUGUCAACAGUGUCUACAGGACAUUCGGGGUUGGGGGUAUAUUUAUAGUACCUUGUAGGAAAUGUCACAACAGAGCGUUGAGUUUGCACCAUCUGCCCAUAAUUUACUGCACAUUGUUUACAUGCAUUUAAAGACAGGAGUAUGCAUGCUGGUCUUGUGUUGAAUGCAGAUGUGUCUGUGAAACAUCAGUUUAAAAUUGGCAUUCACCUGUCUUUACCUUUUAAAAUGAUGGAGCAGAAUUUAAAAUAAAAAAUUAAAAUGCAUAAACAUACACAUCUCUAUGACACAUGUAUACAUGAGAAUUCAAAAUAUUGUAUGUAUAUGAAUACAGUCAUUAUAUUUUAGUCAUUAAAACAAAAUUGUGGCCCCGAGUCAUU